Molecule: unclassified non-coding RNA, 1604 nt
Filed under: Hevea brasiliensis (rubber tree)
Lineage: Eukaryota; Viridiplantae; Streptophyta; Magnoliopsida; Malpighiales; Euphorbiaceae
Source: RNAcentral
CCACACUCAGUGACUUGUCUAUGUGCUCGCCCCUGCCGUCCUUUAUCGAAGAAAACCCUAAUUCAUGCUCGACGAUGUUCGAAAUUAAACCUCAAGCUGGUCUUGAAUGGAUCCAAGGCUACGUUUCCGGUCAACGCAAACAGCAUUUCAGCGAUGCGCCACUUGGUUUCGGCCGUUGCCAGAUCUGAGCCAGAUAGGCUUGGCCAGGAAGACGUUAAAGAGGCAGUCGACAAUGGCUAUAAAUUACCGGAAAAAGAGGGAAUUGUCUCAGAGCCUCAACAGAAAGGGAGUCAGUUGAGGAAAAGAAUUGUUUUGGGGCUUGGGAUUGGAUUUUCUGCUGGAGGUGUUGUCUUGGCUGGAGGAUGGGUUUUCACUUUGGCCUUCGCAGCUAUUGUAUUUGUUGGUGCACGUGAGUACUUUGAAUUGGUUAGAAGUCGUGGAAUUGCAGCAGGGAUGACACCUCCUCCUCGUUAUGCCUCACGAGUUUGCUCUGUUAUAUGUGCUGUCAUGCCUCUAAUUACCUUGUAUUUUGGUCAGAUUGACAUUCCAGUGACUUUUGCUGCUUUUGUUGUGGCAAUGUCAUUGCUUCUGCAAAGAGGGAAUCCUCGCUUUGCUCAGCUUAGUAGUACUAUGUUUGGGUUAUUUUAUUGCGGCUAUCUUCCUUGUUUCUGGGUCAAGCUUCGGUGUGGGUUGGCAGUCCCAGCCUUGAACACUAGAAUAGGAGCAUUAUGGCCUGUUCUUUUUGGAGGCCAAGCUCAUUGGACUGUGGGCCUUGUGGCAACCCUGAUUUGUUUUAGCUGCAUCAUAGCUGCUGAUACGUUUGCUUUUAUAGGUGGCAAGGCAUUUGGGAGGACACCAUUAACUAGUAUUAGUCCAAAGAAGACAUGGGAAGGGACUAUUGCAGGCUUGGGUGGCUGUAUAGCAACUUCUGUGAUACUAUCAAAGAUUUUGUCCUGGCCAACAUCAUUGCUAAGUGCAAUAGCUUUUGGGUUUCUGAAUUUCUUUGGGUCAAUAUUUGGUGAUCUUACGGAAUCAAUGAUCAAACGAGAUGCAGGUGUCAAGGACUCUGGUUCUCUCAUACCUGGACACGGUGGAAUACUGGACCGAGUGGACAGCUACAUUUUCACGGGUGCACUUGCAUACUCAUUUGUCAAAACUUUCCUACCACUUUAUGGAGUUUGACAUGAAAACCAUUGACCAAUAGCAAGAAAAAAAUACGAAAGACUGAACUUUUUGAGUUUGCCUCAUUCUAGAAAGCUAAACCAGAAACGAGCAAAUACUUGAUUAAAGUUGGAGCAUCUAUGGGGCAGACAGAAAAGUUUUCUUCUAAAAAUCUCAUAGAAGGGCACUGAAGGCUGCAUAAGCAACUCUACCAUGUUUGCCUGAUCAUCAAGUGCAAACACGUUAAUGCCUUGUUUUUAUCCUUGUGGAAUUGCGUGAGGUCAAUUAUGCUUUGCUUGCUAAUCAGAUGUGGUGGUCCUCUGAGAUAACAUGGAUUAAUGAUGAUAACUACAGUUGAGGUAGAGCCUUUGUUGGCUGUGAACAUUUUAUUAUUUCAUGCGACAGCCCAUGUCAGCUUGCCAGUGUUAAUUUGCUAUACAUAU